Molecule: non-coding RNA, 125 nt
Organism: Triticum aestivum (bread wheat)
Lineage: Eukaryota; Viridiplantae; Streptophyta; Magnoliopsida; Poales; Poaceae
Source: Rfam
GUUGUACUCCCUCCGUCCAGAAAUACUUGUCGAAGAAAUGGAUAAAAAUGGAUGUAUCUAGAACCAAAAUACAUCUAGAUACAUCCAUUUCUCCGACAAGUAUUUAUGAACGGAGGAAGUACUAC